CCUACGGGAGGCAGCAGUGAGGAAUAUUGGUCAAUGGCCGAGAGGCUGAACCAGCCAAGUCGCGUGAGGGAAGACGGCCCUACGGGUUGUAAACCUCUUUUGUCGGGGAGCAAAGAGAGUCACGUGUGACUCAUUGAGAGUACCCGAAGAAAAAGCAUCGGUUAACUCCGUGCCAGCAGCCGCGGUAAUACGGAGGAUGCGAGCGUUAUCCGGAUUGAUUGGGUGUAAAGGGUGCGCAGGCGGAGGUGCAAGUCAGCGGUCAAAGUGCGGGGAUCCAACCCGUCCUGCCGUUGAAACUGCAUCCCUUGAGUGCGCGAGAAGUAUGCGGAAUGCGUGGUGUAGCGGUGAAAUGCAUAGAUAUCACGCAGAACUCCGAUUGCGAAGGCAGCAUACCGGCGCGCAACUUACGCUCAUGCACGAAAGCGUGGGUAUCGAACAGGAUUAGAUACCCUGGUAGUC
RNAcentral lists this ribosomal RNA (459 nucleotides) under uncultured bacterium. RNAcentral describes it as "partial 16S ribosomal RNA". It matches the Rfam family "Bacterial small subunit ribosomal RNA", at positions 338 to 795 of the family's 1533-position model. The record is from RNAcentral.